CCUACGGGAGGCAGCAGUGGGGAAUAUUGGGCAAUGGGCGAAAGCCUGACCCAGCAACGCCGCGUGAAGGAAGAAGGCUUUCGGGUUGUAAACUUCUAUUAAGAGGGACGAAGAAAGUGACGGUACCGCAGGAAGAAGCCACGGCUAACGACGGGCCAGCAGCCGCGGUAAUACGUAGGUGGCAAGCGUUAUCCGGAAUUAUUGGGUGUAAAGGGCGAGUAGGCGGGAUUGAAAGUCAGAUGUGAAAACGCUGGGCUCAACCCUCAGCGUGCAUUUGAAACUUUCUUUCUUGAGUGCUGGAGAGGCAAUCGGAAUUCCGUGUGUAGCGGUGAAAUGCGUAGAUAUUCGGAGGAACACCAGUGGCGAAGGCGGCUUUCUGGACUGUAACUGACGCUGCGGCGCGAACGCGUGGGGAGCAAACAGGAUUAGAUACCCUUGUAGUC
This 443-nucleotide ribosomal RNA is filed under the name uncultured bacterium. RNAcentral's name for it is "partial 16S ribosomal RNA". It matches the Rfam family "Bacterial small subunit ribosomal RNA", at positions 338 to 795 of the family's 1533-position model. The record is from RNAcentral.